This 494-nucleotide ribosomal RNA is filed under the name uncultured bacterium. RNAcentral describes it as "partial 16S ribosomal RNA". It matches the Rfam family "Bacterial small subunit ribosomal RNA", at positions 28 to 507 of the family's 1533-position model. The record is from RNAcentral.
GACGAACGCUGGCGGCGUGCUUAACACAUGCAAGUCGAAUGGUGAAGCGCCUUCCUUUUUGGUGGGUGUGGAUGAGUGGCGAACGGGUGAGUAACACGUGAGUAACCUGCCCCCUUCUUCUGGAUAACCGCAUGAAAGUGUGGCUAAUACGGGAUAUUCUGGGUCUGUCGCAUGAUGGGUCUGGGAAAGAUAUUGUUUCGGUGGGGGAUGGGCUCGCGGCCUAUCAGCUUGUUGGUGGGGUGAUGACCUACCAAGGCGGUGACGGGUAGCCGGCCUGAGAGGGUGGACGGUCACACUGGGACUGAGACACGGCCCAGACUCCUACGGGAGGCAGCAGUGGGGAAUAUUGCACAAUGGGCGCAAGCCUGAUGCAGCGACGCCGCGUGAGGGAUGGAGGCCUUCGGGUUGUGAACCUCUUUCGCCAGUGAAGCAGGCCUGCCUCGUUUGUGGGUGGGUUGACGGUAGCUGGAUAAGAAGCGCCGGCUAACUACGUG